Molecule: ribosomal RNA, 490 nt
Filed under: uncultured bacterium
Lineage: Bacteria
Description: partial 16S ribosomal RNA
Rfam family: Bacterial small subunit ribosomal RNA
Source: RNAcentral
AUUGAACGCUGGCGGCAGGCCUAACACAUGCAAGUCGAACGGUAACAGGAAGCAGCUUGCUGCUUCGCUGACGAGUGGCGGACGGGUGAGUAAUGUCUGGGAAGCUGCCUGAUGGAGGGGGAUAACUACUGGAAACGGUAGCUAAUACCGCAUAAUGUCGCAAGACCAAAGAGGGGGACCUUCGGGCCUCUUGCCAUCGGACGUGCCCAGAUGGGAUUAGCUUGUUGGUGGGGUAACGGCUCACCAAGGCGACGAUCCCUAGCUGGUCUGAGAGGAUGACCAGCCACACUGGGACUGAGACACGGUCCAGACUCCUACGGGAGGCAGCAGUGGGGAAUAUUGCACAAUGGGCGCAAGCCUGAUGCAGCCAUGCCGCGUGUAUGAAGAAGGCCUUCGGGUUGUAAAGUACUUUCAGCGGGGAGGAAGGGAGUAAAGUUAAUACCUUUGCUCAUUGACGUUACCCGCAGAAGAAGCACCCGCUAACUCCGUG